AGCGUGGAGUGGGGAAGUGGUCAUGAAGCCCCACCCUCAGCAGAGGAGCUAUCAGAAGCUGCUGGCUGCUGGGAGAGGGACAGCGAGCUUUCUUCAAUGAGGCUGCUCCUGAGAGGCCACUCAUGUUCUAUCCAUGGAGAACAAGAGAAGAACCUGGAGUCCCUAUAUGAGGCUUUCCUAAGAUCACCAUGGCGACCUGGAAGGAACUCGAAGAGAUGACAGAGAAGCUAGAACUCCAGAUGGAUGAGCCAGACAUUAAAGAACAAGUGAGAGGUUCUGUCAAUUGAACUGUAGGUUUCCAGCCUGGAUGCUCAUAAAGAGGGUGGAGGUGUAGAACAAGGGAGUGAGGUGCAAGAAGAGCUGGGUAUAAAUGAGCUACCAGACUGUAAUGAGAGACCAGAUCAACUCCAUCUUAGAGAAUUUUCCUACUGUUAAACUAGAGUUAACUAACAAGCCUGUGUCUAGUACCAGUUUCCAGGUCAUUCCCGAAGGAAUCUAUACCUCCAGCUUCGAAACCUGCCCCUGACACUUCACUUCCUAACAACCACCAAGAGGAAAGCAAAAGUUAAGUUUAUGGUUUGGCUCCCAGCACUAGCCAAUUAUGUCAAAGAUCAUAAUGCCCUCCACCCCAAUCAAAUGUGUCCCAGGUUAGAUACCCCCUUCUUGCUUCUAUAAAUGCUUGCCUAAAACUAGGCUCAGGAGCCCGCCUUCCCAUACUGCUGUGUCAAGGCUGGCAGGGUCCCAAGCUCAAGCUUGUAAUAAAGAGUCACUAAUGCGAUUGCAUUGGAAU
Long non-coding RNA from Mastomys coucha (southern multimammate mouse), 790 nucleotides. RefSeq lists it as uncharacterized. NCBI's taxonomy places the organism in Eukaryota, Metazoa, Chordata, Mammalia, Rodentia, Muridae. The transcript is spliced from 2 exons. The record is from RefSeq and is a predicted model, not a curated record.